UCCAGACUCCUACGGGAGGCAGCAGUGGGGAAUAUUGGGCAAUGGGCGCAAGCCUGACCCAGCAACGCCGCGUGAAGGAAGAAGGCUUUCGGGUUUUAAACUUCUUUUAAUAUUGACGAAACAAAUGACGGUACCUCUUUAAUAAGCCACUUCUAACUACGUGCCAGCAGCCGCGGUAAUACUUAGGUGGCAAUCGUUAUCCGGAUUUAUUGGGUGUAAAGGGCGUGUAGGCGGGAAAGCAAGUCAGAUGUGAAAACUAUGGGCUCAACCCAUAGCCUGCAUUUGAAACUGUUUUUCUUGAGUGCUGGAGAGGCAAUCGGAAUUCCGUGUGCAGCGGUGAAAUGCGUAGAUAUACGGAGGAACACCAGUGGCGAAGGCGGAUUGCUGGACAGUAGCUGACGCUGAGGCGCGAAAGCGUGGGGAGCAAACAGGAUUAGAUACCCCAGUAG
Molecule: ribosomal RNA, 449 nt
Filed under: uncultured bacterium
Lineage: Bacteria
Description: bacterial SSU rRNA
Rfam family: Bacterial small subunit ribosomal RNA
Source: RNAcentral